Molecule: transfer RNA, 60 nt
Filed under: Dendrobaena byblica
Lineage: Eukaryota; Metazoa; Annelida; Clitellata; Crassiclitellata; Lumbricidae
Description: tRNA-Ala
Source: RNAcentral
UGCAACUUAGUUCAUUUAGAACAGUCAACUUGCACUUGACAAGAGAGUAACCUCAGUAGC